Molecule: ribosomal RNA, 251 nt
Filed under: uncultured bacterium
Lineage: Bacteria
Description: partial 16S ribosomal RNA
Rfam family: Bacterial small subunit ribosomal RNA
Source: RNAcentral
UACAGAGGUCUCAAGCGUUGUUCGGAUUCAUUGGGCGUAAAGGGUGCGUAGGCGGCGUGGUAAGUCGGGUGUGAAAUCUCGGAGCUUAACUCCGAACUGCAUUCGAUACUGCCGUGCUUGAGGACUGGAGAGGAGACUGGAAUUUACGGUGUAGCGGUGAAAUGCGUAGAUAUCGUAAGGAAGACCAGUGGCGAAGGCGGGUCUCUGGACAGUUCCUGACGCUGAGGCACGAAGGUCAGGGAGCAAACGGG